GGAAACAGCUCUCUGCAGCAAGCUGUCUGGAUCCAGACAUUCGCUUGGGAUUCCUAAUGCCUUGAUUUGAGGAGAGAAGAUGAACCUCACCUAACUUUGAAAUUAAUAUUUAAUGCUUUGAGGUCCCUUACUUGCAGGGAGAUGUGGUAAAUUGAAUUUGCUCCUUGCGAGGUCUUCAAACAAGGCUUUCAGCAAGCAAUUCCUGGCCAAGAAACAAAAGCAGAAUCAUCCCAUUCCCCAAUGGAUUCAAAUGAAAACUGGUAGUAAAAUCAGGUAAAACUCCCAAGAGAAAACACUGGAGAAGAACCAAGCU
Molecule: long non-coding RNA, 313 nt
Filed under: Sus scrofa (pig)
Lineage: Eukaryota; Metazoa; Chordata; Mammalia; Artiodactyla; Suidae
Description: lncRNA (ENSSSCG00065027479.1, ENSSSCG00070009491.1)
Source: RNAcentral